UACGUAGGGGGCAAGCGUUGACCGGAUUUAUUGGGCGUAAAGAGCGUGUAGGCGGCCAGGUAGGUCGGUUGUGAAAACUAGAGGCUCAACCUCUAGACGUCGACCGAAACCAUCUGGCUAGAGUCCGGAAGAGGAGAGUGGAAUUCCUGGUGUAGCGGUGAAAUGCGCAGAUAUCAGGAAGAACACCCGUGGCGAAGGCGGCUCUCUGGGACGGUACUGACGCUGAGACGCGAAAGCGUGGGGAGCGAACAGG
RNAcentral lists this ribosomal RNA (253 nucleotides) under uncultured bacterium. RNAcentral's name for it is "partial 16S ribosomal RNA". It matches the Rfam family "Bacterial small subunit ribosomal RNA", at positions 524 to 776 of the family's 1533-position model. The record is from RNAcentral.